CCUACGGGAGGCAGCAGUGGGGAAUAUUGCACAAUGGGGGAAACCCUGAUGCAGCGACGCCGCGUGAGUGAAGAAGUAAUUCGUUAUGUAAAGCUCUAUCAGCAGGGAAGAAAAUGACGGUACCUGAGUAAGAAGCCCCGGCUAACUACGUGCCAGCAGCAGCGGUAAUACGUAGGGGGCAAGCGUUAUCCGGAUUUACUGGGUGUAAAGGGAGCGUAGACGGCAGUGCAAGUCUGGCGUGAAAGGCGGGGGCUCAACCCCCGGACUGCUCUGGAAACUGGACGGCUGGAGUGCAGGAGAGGUAAGUGGAAUGCCUGGUGUAGCGGUGAAAUGCGUAGAUAUUAGGAGGAACACCAGUGGCGAAGGCGGCUUACUAGACUGUAACUGACGUUGAGGCUCGAAAGCGUGGGGAGCAAACAGGAUUAGAUACCCGUGUAGUC
This 440-nucleotide ribosomal RNA is filed under the name uncultured bacterium. RNAcentral's name for it is "partial 16S ribosomal RNA". It matches the Rfam family "Bacterial small subunit ribosomal RNA", at positions 338 to 795 of the family's 1533-position model. The record is from RNAcentral.